AAUUCUGAUUCCAUAAAUCAAUUCGUUCCCCGUCUCUCAGUCUGUAUGGAUCGCUGGUGUCAUGGUCCCAAAAUUCACGAUCCUAACUAUUUGCUGCUUGUGUGCAGUGUAUGUUGCAAUUUAUAGUGUGUGUGAAGCAAAACGGAGUGGAAAUACUUGGCAACGCAAUUGUCAUGGGAAACCGAAUUCAGGAGUAUGCCUUGCAGCGUUCCGGCAUUUUUUCUACAAUGAGACUUCGAAAAAAUGUGAAAUGUUCGUGUAUGGAGGUUGUGGAGUGUAUCCGAACCACUUUAGGACGAGACAAGAAUGCGCGAGAUAUUGUUUAUAACAACAAUUGCAAUUUGAGCAUGGUAACUUUAUAGUGUCACAAUCUCAUAAUAAAGACUAGCAGAAAUUC
Hermetia illucens (black soldier fly) is the source of this 397-nucleotide long non-coding RNA. RefSeq lists it as uncharacterized. NCBI's taxonomy places the organism in Eukaryota, Metazoa, Arthropoda, Insecta, Diptera, Stratiomyidae. The transcript has 2 exons. The record is from RefSeq and is a predicted model, not a curated record.